ACUUGAUGUCAUGUGUAUGAUUGA
Molecule: non-coding RNA, 24 nt
Filed under: Arabidopsis thaliana (thale cress)
Lineage: Eukaryota; Viridiplantae; Streptophyta; Magnoliopsida; Brassicales; Brassicaceae
Source: RNAcentral